Molecule: ribosomal RNA, 207 nt
Filed under: uncultured bacterium
Lineage: Bacteria
Description: partial 16S ribosomal RNA
Rfam family: Bacterial small subunit ribosomal RNA
Source: RNAcentral
CGCGUAGGCGGUUUAGUAAGUCAGAUGUGAAAGCCCUGGGCUUAACCUGGGAACUGCGUUUGAAACUGCUGAACUAGAGUGUGGUAGAGGGAAGUGGAAUUCCGGGUGUAGCGGUGAAAUGCGUAGAUAUCCGGAGGAACACCAGUGGCGAAGGCGACUUCCUGGACCAACACUGACGCUGAGGUACGAAAGCGUGGGUAGCAAACA